AGCGAACGCUGGCGGCAGGCCUAACACAUGCAAGUCGAACGAACUCUUCGGAGUUAGUGGCGGACGGGUGAGUAACACGUGGGAACGUGCCUUUUGGUUCAGAAUAACUCAGGGAAACUUGUGCUAAUACCGCAUGUGCCCUUCGGGGGAAAGAUGUAUCGCCAUUUGAGCGGCCCGCGUCUGAUUAGCUAGUUGGUGAGGUAACGGCUCACCAAGGCGACGAUCAGUAGCUGGUCUGAGAGGAUGACCAGCCACACUGGGACUGAGACACGGCCCAGACUCCUACGGGGAGCAGCAGUGGGGAAUCUUGCGCAAUGGGCGAAAGCCUGACGCAGCCAUGCCGCGUGAAUGAUGAAGGUCUUAGGAUUGUAAAAUUCUUUCACCGGGGACGAUAAUGACGGUACCCGGAGAAGAAGCCCCGGCUAACUUCGUG
This 433-nucleotide ribosomal RNA is filed under the name uncultured bacterium. RNAcentral describes it as "partial 16S ribosomal RNA". It matches the Rfam family "Bacterial small subunit ribosomal RNA", at positions 29 to 507 of the family's 1533-position model. The record is from RNAcentral.